Delphinapterus leucas (beluga whale) is the source of this 832-nucleotide non-coding RNA. NCBI's taxonomy places the organism in Eukaryota, Metazoa, Chordata, Mammalia, Artiodactyla, Monodontidae. The record is from RefSeq and is a predicted model, not a curated record.
CAGUAGCUGCUGAGGAAGGUGUAUUCUUAGGUUUCACACAGCUUUUGCUUUAUUGUUUGUUUUAGAACCACCAUUAAACGCCCCAAAUAAUGACCAGUCUGCAUCCAUCCAUUAAUUGAAUGGAUCAUCCCAUUGAUUUUCACCUGCUUCAUCCUAAUUGGCUUCAUCGUCGUGAAACUUAUGAAGAAAUCAGGGACCACAGCAGGAGAAGGUGGAAAUGUUAGACCAACCCUUGGUGGAAAAAACUGACCCUUGAUGACAGUCUGGCUGCUGAUCUAAUAUAUUAUCUUCUACUCAGAGGCUUGUCGCUUUAAUCAGCUGGAACGUCUCCCAGCUCAGCUGAGCUCCUUACAAGGAGCUGUGGGGUGUGGUCUGAGAUCUGGAGAGACUUGGAACAGGCCAACCAUGUCAUGAUCUGACCCAGGUUGCCUCAGCUUGGAGACACCAACAGGAAGCAACACACAACUGGUGUGAGUCACUUGUGCCCCUAAUAGCUGAGGGCCUUGGCUUCUAGCCAUUGCUCUCUCCCCUAAGACUAAGAGGAGCUGCGCACCCCAAGCCAACGUCAGAGGGCGCCAUCGGCCAGGCUGCGGCUUGACCUGUCACAGCUGCUCCACUGGGCCCAUCCGGAGCUUCCAGGGUGUCCAGAGAGAUUUCCCCCUGAAUUAUCCCCAACUUCACUCUCUCUGCUGAUGCUCAUCCACACCCACCCGCAGCAGUGCUUCACUUCCUACCUGCGUUACGUGUCAUACUGUCUUCCAGAGCUGCGAAGUAAAUAACCAUUUUACUGAAAUAAAAAUCGAGCCACCGGUGCUUUGUGACCGCCUGGAGG